CGGGUGAGUAAUGUCUGGGAAACUGCCUGAUGGAGGGGGGUAACUACUGGAAACGGUAGCUAAUACCGCAUAAUGUCGCAAGACCAAAGAGGGGGACCUUCGGGCCUCUUGCCAUCGGAUGUGCCCAGAUGGGAUUAGCUAGUAGGUGGGGUAACGGCUCACCUAGGCGACGAUCCCUAGCUGGUCUGAGAGGAUGACCAGCCACACUGGAACUGAGACACGGUCCAG
RNAcentral lists this ribosomal RNA (228 nucleotides) under uncultured bacterium. RNAcentral describes it as "partial 16S ribosomal RNA". It matches the Rfam family "Bacterial small subunit ribosomal RNA", at positions 103 to 334 of the family's 1533-position model. The record is from RNAcentral.